UACGUAGGUGACAAGCGUUGUCCGGAUUUACUGGGCGUAAAGAGCGCGUAGGCGGUUGACUAAGUCGGGUGUGAAAGCCCCCGGCUCAACUGGGGAGGGUCAUUCGAUACUGAUCGACUCGAAGGCAGGAGAGGGUAGUGGAAUUCCCGGUGUAGUGGUGAAAUGCGUAGAUAUCGGGAGGAACACCAGUGGCGAAGGCGACUACCUGGCCUGUUCUUGACGCUGAGGCGCGAAAGCUAGGGGAGCAAACGGG
Molecule: ribosomal RNA, 253 nt
Filed under: uncultured bacterium
Lineage: Bacteria
Description: partial 16S ribosomal RNA
Rfam family: Bacterial small subunit ribosomal RNA
Source: RNAcentral